UUGACCUCGGAUCAGGUAGGGAUACCCGCUGAACUUAAGCAUAUCAAUAAGCGGAGGAAAAGAAACCAACAGGGAUUGCCCUAGUAACGGCGAGUGAAGCGGCAACAGCUCAAAUUUGAAAUCUGGCGUCUUUGGCGUCCGAGUUGUAAUUUGCAGAGGGCGCUUUGGCAUUGGCAGCGGUCCAAGUUCCUUGGAACAGGACGUCACAGAGGGUGAGAAUCCCGUACGUGGUCGCUAGCCUUUACCGUGUAAAGCCCCUUCGACGAGUCGAGUUGUUUGGGAAUGCAGCUCUAAAUGGGAGGUAAAUUUCUUCUAAAGCUAAAUACUGGCCAGAGACCGAUAGCGCACAAGUAGAGUGAUCGAAAGAUGAAAAGCACUUUGGAAAGAGAGUUAAAAAGCACGUGAAAUUGUUGAAAGGGAAGCGCUUGCAGCCAGACUUGCCUGUAGUUGCUCAUCCGGGUUUUUACCCGGUGCACUCUUCUACGGGCAGGCCAGCAUCAGUUUGGGCGGUUGGAUAAAGGUCUCUGUCAUGUACCUCCUCUC
Molecule: ribosomal RNA, 543 nt
Filed under: Epicoccum nigrum
Lineage: Eukaryota; Fungi; Ascomycota; Dothideomycetes; Pleosporales; Didymellaceae
Description: eukaryotic LSU rRNA
Rfam family: Eukaryotic large subunit ribosomal RNA
Source: RNAcentral